UACGUAGGGUGCAAGCGUUAAUCGGAAUUACUGGGCGUAAAGCGUGCGCAGGCGGUUUUGUAAGUCUAUCGUGAAAUCCCCGGGCUCAACCUGGGAAUUGCGAUGGAGACUGCAAGGCUAGAAUCUGGCAGAGGGGGGUAGAAUUCCACGUGUAGCAGUGAAAUGCGUAGAGAUGUGGAGGAACACCGGUGGCGAAGGCAGCCCCCUGGGUCAAGAUUGACGCUCAUGCACGAAAGCGUGGGGAGCAAACAGG
This 253-nucleotide ribosomal RNA is filed under the name uncultured bacterium. RNAcentral's name for it is "partial 16S ribosomal RNA". It matches the Rfam family "Bacterial small subunit ribosomal RNA", at positions 524 to 776 of the family's 1533-position model. The record is from RNAcentral.